This is a non-coding RNA of Pluteus cervinus, 103 nucleotides long. The record is from the annotation of a GenBank genome assembly. Lineage: Eukaryota; Fungi; Basidiomycota; Agaricomycetes; Agaricales; Pluteaceae.
UCUCUCGUCGUAUAACGGAUUAAUUACACACACACCUGAUAUAUGAGCACAUUCUAGCUUUCCUGUUCUGUGUGGGAUCUGGGUUCGAAUCCCAGCGGGAGGA